This is a long non-coding RNA of Solea senegalensis (Senegalese sole), 1669 nucleotides long. RefSeq lists it as uncharacterized. NCBI's taxonomy places the organism in Eukaryota, Metazoa, Chordata, Actinopteri, Pleuronectiformes, Soleidae. The transcript is spliced from 3 exons. The record is from RefSeq and is a predicted model, not a curated record.
CUGCUUUUUUCCUCGUCCUUGCUUGGCUUGGAAGACUAGUCGAUGCCUCAUCUCUUCCUACACUGUUCUGCUCAAAACUGUUUUGUUUUAUAUUUUUCCUCUUUAUAAAAACUGGUUUGGGUUUUGUUCAUUCUGUAUACAAGCUGCCAGAUGUUCAGAGGGGAGGGGAAGAAACUCACAGCUCAAAUCCUACCAGUUGCUGUGCCUCCAGGCUGGCGACAGCCAUGGCAACAGGUAUUAUUGUUGUUGGCUUUCCUGUGCGAGGUGUGAGGUGUGACACACUUUGACUUCUAGGAUACUUUAUUGCCAUUGUGGUCAUGUAAAAAUGAGAAGUAUGACAUGCAUUACCCAGGUCUUGGUAAAGUAGCGUACUCAAAAUAAGUAUGUAGGAAUAACUAUAGAAACAAAUAUGUAAAUGAACAACAUAAAACCAUUAAAAACGUCAAAGCAGUAGGAAGUACAAAUAGCAACAGUGGCAGAUGGUAAUUGGAUAAAAUGCUGAAGUGAUAACAUUAUGUAUCUAAAUUAACAAAAGUCAUCUUCACAGUGACAUUAUAAUGUUCUAGGGGGAAAAAAAUCAUAAAUCACACAACAGAUUGUGACCAUAUUCCCUGCAACUUAUAGCAGAGUCAAAAAAGAAUGCAUGGUGUCAUUCUGGUUUUCUAAUCAUUCUAAUUGUCCUCUGUAUCAUCAGUAUAAUAGAAAGCGGUUGGUGCAUACAUUUCUCACAGUGGCCACUUAUCUAAUGACACAGUGCUCUUCAUGUGGUUGGUCAAAUCACUACUUCCCACAACUGGAUACGCUCAAGAAAGCGAAUUCAAGACAGACGACAAAAUAGAAACAUAUCAGGCGAAUCAAGCUGACAUCUGAAACCCACGGCAGCCGCGUCACUGGGAACUACUAGGAUCUCUGCACUGGCUUGCCAAAACCACAGAGUUUAAACAACUCUGAAGAUGACAAGACAAGGAGAACGAAGGGAAGGGCAGCUACAUAUCAAUAUGCCAGGGAGACGGCCAGCUACAAACAGGUGUUUCUCCUCAUGCAUAUGAGAUCAUGGCUCGCGAGAGAGAGACUUCACUGCGUUGACUCGCAAACUUGGUGUCUCAUCAUCCUUCAUCCCUGGCUUCCUCCAUCUGGACUUCUAUGUUACCCAUCUUCUAUCCAUUACACUCUCAUUUAUCAAUAAUAACACUUAACAAUGUUGGUCUUUGUGAAACAAUCCAAGCACGACGAUCUUCACUGCGCACACACACGAGCACUGACUCAAUCACUGUCAUCGGAUCCAUCAACCAAGUUAUUUUCAUGUUAGUCACAGAGCCUUUAUUACCUCCCCUGCCCUCCCUCAACCUCACUGCCUCACUCUGACAAGCUCUGAUUGUCCCUUAAUAUUUGGGUGUCUUUAGGUGACUCCGGCGCUAAAUUGUUUACCCUCCGCUACUGAGAGGGGAGCUUUCAGCCACCCAGUCAGGUGCUUAUCUGAUGUAAUGGACCAUUGAUCACCUUUUACCCUCCAAUGAAUUAACUCUCUGUUAGUUCAAUAGAGAGCCCAGAACUACCCGAAUAUAUUGUUCCUCCAGGUUCACCAAACCUCCACUUACUGGUUGUCUCCCGUUUCAGACAGCAUCUGUACAUAAUGCAAGGAGGAUCGGGUUCAGCUGCUAAUAAAAAG